UACAGAGGGGGCAAGCGUUGUUCGGAAUUACUGGGCGUAAAGGGCGCGUAGGCGGCCUGCUAAGUCGGACGUGAAAUCCCCGGGCUCAACCCGGGAACUGCGUCCGAUACUGGUGGGCUUGAAUCCGGGAGAGGGAUGUGGAAUUCCAGGUGUAGCGGUGAAAUGCGUAGAUAUCUGGAGGAACACCGGUGGCGAAGGCGGCAUCCUGGACCGGUAUUGACGCUGAGGCGCGAAAGCCAGGGGAGCAAACGGG
This 253-nucleotide ribosomal RNA is filed under the name uncultured bacterium. RNAcentral describes it as "partial 16S ribosomal RNA". It matches the Rfam family "Bacterial small subunit ribosomal RNA", at positions 524 to 776 of the family's 1533-position model. The record is from RNAcentral.